AGCGAACGCUGGCGGCAGGCCUAACACAUGCAAGUCGAACGAACUCUUCGGAGUUAGUGGCGGACGGGUGAGUAACACGUGGGAACGUGCCUUUAGGUUCGGAAUAACUCAGGGAAACUUGUGCUAAUACCGAAUGUGCCCUUCGGGGGAAAGAUUUAUCGCCUUUAGAGCGGCCCGCGUCUGAUUAGCUAGUUGGUGAGGUAAAGGCUCACCAAGGCGACGAUCAGUAGCUGGUCUGAGAGGAUGAUCAGCCACAUUGGGACUGAGACACGGCCCAAACUCCUACGGGAGGCAGCAGUGGGGAAUCUUGCGCAAUGGGCGAAAGCCUGACGCAGCCAUGCCGCGUGAAUGAUGAAGGUCUUAGGAUUGUAAAUUUCUUUCACCGGGGACGAUAUUGACGGUACCCGGAGAAGAAGCCCCGGCUAACUUCGUG
RNAcentral lists this ribosomal RNA (433 nucleotides) under uncultured bacterium. RNAcentral describes it as "partial 16S ribosomal RNA". It matches the Rfam family "Bacterial small subunit ribosomal RNA", at positions 29 to 507 of the family's 1533-position model. The record is from RNAcentral.